GGUCUCGUAGCUCAACUGGUAGAGCAUGCGCGUACAAAGCGUAGGCGGUGUCCAUGCGUGGGUUCGAAUCCCACCGAGGCUA
This 82-nucleotide transfer RNA is filed under the name Echinostoma caproni. It matches the Rfam family "tRNA". Rfam says of the family: Transfer RNA (tRNA) molecules are approximately 80 nucleotides in length. Their secondary structure includes four short double-helical elements and three loops (D, anti-codon, and T loops). Further hydrogen bonds mediate the characteristic L-shaped molecular structure. tRNAs have two regions of fundamental functional importance: the anti-codon, which is responsible for specific mRNA codon recognition, and the 3' end, to which the tRNAs corresponding amino acid is attached (by aminoacyl-tRNA synthetases). tRNAs cope with the degeneracy of the genetic code in two manners: having more than one tRNA (with a specific anti-codon) for a particular amino acid; and 'wobble' base-pairing, i.e. permitting non-standard base-pairing at the 3rd anti-codon position. The record is from Rfam by way of RNAcentral. Lineage: Eukaryota; Metazoa; Platyhelminthes; Trematoda; Plagiorchiida; Echinostomatidae.